GGGGAGAUGGCCGAGCGGUUAAAGGCAGCAGACUGUAAAUCUGCCGACGAAUGUCUACGGAGGUUCGAAUCCUUCUCUCCCCA
This 83-nucleotide transfer RNA is filed under the name Fidelibacterota bacterium. RNAcentral describes it as "tRNA-Tyr". It matches the Rfam family "tRNA". Rfam says of the family: Transfer RNA (tRNA) molecules are approximately 80 nucleotides in length. Their secondary structure includes four short double-helical elements and three loops (D, anti-codon, and T loops). Lineage: Bacteria; Pseudomonadati; Fidelibacterota. The record is from RNAcentral.